GGUUGCGAUCAUACCAGCACUAAUGCACGGAUCCCAUCAGAACUACGCAGUUAAGCGUGCUUGGGCGAGAGUAGUACUAGGAUGGGUGACCCCUGGGAAGUCCUCGUGUUGCAACCCC
This 118-nucleotide ribosomal RNA is filed under the name Helianthus annuus (common sunflower). Lineage: Eukaryota; Viridiplantae; Streptophyta; Magnoliopsida; Asterales; Asteraceae. The record is from RNAcentral.